GACCAGAGGUGCAAGGAAGGGUGCUUCUCUUUGGAAACAGGAGCUUGAUUGUCUGCAUUUGUUCAAACUAGAGGAGAGAGGACCUGAAAACUUUAACUCUGAGUGGUCACUUUGACUGUGUGACCCGGCUGGAGGGAUGAACCACUGAAGACAGGACAAGGGAGGUUGACAACCUGCAGGCAGUUCCAGGAGUGGGAAAAGGUCUACAGUACCCCACACAGCAGCAGGAUGUGCUCAAGAGCUUAUAUUUUCCACAGCAGAUGGAGCCCUGCGGUAUGCAAAUCAACUUUCCGGUGGAAAGUGAUGCAGGAAGAUAAGUCCUGAGUCAGAGGCCAUUAAAGUCAAUGAAGAGACUCUGAUUGACUUCUGUGGGCUUGGGAUCAGACUCAGAGAAGAGAUGGGAUCAGAGCCUUAGCGACAAGACUGUUACGGAAUGGCAGCAAUACCUGAACAGCCAAAGACAAACACCAAGCUGUCUACAAGACAGAGUGCCAUUUUAUUCCUCUGUCGAAAUUCCUGAUGAGAUGGGAAAAACAUCAGGAAACACUCAAGAGAAGACCUCCUGAACCUUCCAAUUAUUCUUGUUGGCAUCUUUAGAUAGAUAAGAAAGCCUGUGGUAAAUGAAUGACGUUGGAGCUAGGUGUGAAAUGUGAAGGUACAAAAUUAACUGGUAGGAUAAUUACUGUUCUAAUUCUGCAUAAACAUGCGUUUUGAAAAUCAUUAAUAGUUCAGGGAAAUAAUGUUAGUGAUUAAAUAAGGUGGUUUGCAUCACUGAGCACAACUAAGCUGCUUUAAUUACAUUUGAA
Molecule: long non-coding RNA, 806 nt
Organism: Mauremys reevesii (Reeves's turtle)
Lineage: Eukaryota; Metazoa; Chordata; Testudines; Geoemydidae
Exons: 6
Source: RefSeq, a predicted model, not a curated record